CCUACGGGAGGCAGCAGUGAGGAAUAUUGGUCAAUGGACGAGAGUCUGAACCAGCCAAGUAGCGUGAAGGAUGACUGCCCUAUGGGUUGUAAACUUCUUUUAUAUGGGAAUAAAAUGUUCCACGUGUGGGAUUUUGUAUGUACCAUAUGAAUAAGGAUCGGCUAACUCCGUGCCAGCAGCCGCGGUAAUACGGAGGCUCCGAGCGUUAUCCGGAUUUAUUGGGUUUAAAGGGAGCGUAGGUGGAUUGUUAAGUCAGUUGUGAAAGUUUGCGGCUCAACCGUAAAAUUGCAGUUGAAACUGGCAGUCUUGAGUACAGUAGAGGUGGGCGGAAUUCGUGGUGUAGCGGUGAAAUGCUUAGAUAUCACGAAGAACUCCGAUUGCGAAGGCAGUUCACUGGACUGCAACUGACACCGAGGCUCGAAAGUGUGGGUAUCAAACAGGAUUAGAUACCCGAGUAGUC
Molecule: ribosomal RNA, 460 nt
Filed under: uncultured bacterium
Lineage: Bacteria
Description: partial 16S ribosomal RNA
Rfam family: Bacterial small subunit ribosomal RNA
Source: RNAcentral